Non-coding RNA from Labrus bergylta (ballan wrasse), 914 nucleotides. The record is from RefSeq and is a predicted model, not a curated record. NCBI's taxonomy places the organism in Eukaryota, Metazoa, Chordata, Actinopteri, Labriformes, Labridae.
UGACUGAUCAAGCCCUGCCUAUAAAGGAAGCAGGAAGUGGAGGGUUCCUUCUUUAAUCUUCAAAGCUGCACAGAGCAGGCAGCAACAGAAAUUUUUCACUCCUUAUUCAAUGUGGUGAAUAAGUCAAAAGAGUAACUAACAUCCUGACUCACUCCAUACAUGUGGAGGACUGCACACACACCUGUGGAGGAUGUAGAGGACCAUCUCUUUGCUUCCUGCACUGGCAGCGUGAUGAGUCGAGUGAGGUGGGGCUCCCUUCAGGUGCGGCUCCCUUCAGGUGGGGCUCCCUUCAGGUGCGGCCUCCCUUCAGGUGCGGCCUCCCUUCAGGUGGGGCUCCUGCAGCUGAUGAUUCAGUUCAAAGACACAUGGGCAGCCUGACCAAAACAAGAUGAAGUGCUGUUAGCAUGUCUGCUACACCACGCUGCCUCACUUCCUUCAACAUUUGGUGUUUCCUCGCUCUGAACUCCGAAGGAGUUUCUUCGGAUUAAAGUUUACCUGUUCCUGUUGGACCUUGUGUUUUUUUUGUCUUGUCAGCAUCUUCAAUUCCUAAUAGAUGUUUUGUAGUAGUUUCCUUUGUCACACAGUUGUGAACUUGAAGUGUUAGAUUUGUUAUCUUGUAUAAAACAAAUUUUCCAUUAGGAAACAUGUUUAUUUGUACAUAAUUAAAGACUACUAGAAACAAGUUUCCUCAGGAAUAAUGAAAGUGGUAAACUACUAUAAAUAAAACACAGCUGGCAGAUGACCAGAGCACAGAUGUAACACAAGUCACUGAUGCAGAAUGGAUACAGCAGUAGUUUUAUUACAAUAUUGAACAGACAUGACCUGUGUUUUUCUACAUGUUACAUCAGCACAAGAAGGUGUCACAGCAUCCCCAUUGGAUAGGAGACUCAAAGGGUUCUUAAUGUUUAAUUAUG